CUUAGGCUUAGGCUCUGGCUUACGCUUAAGCUUAAAACUAAGCCUUAACCUUAGGCUUAGGCUUAAAACUAAGCCUUAGCCAUAGCCUUAGGCUUAGGCUUAGAU
Molecule: non-coding RNA, 105 nt
Organism: Caenorhabditis elegans
Lineage: Eukaryota; Metazoa; Nematoda; Chromadorea; Rhabditida; Rhabditidae
Source: Ensembl